Molecule: ribosomal RNA, 604 nt
Filed under: Parahaliea mediterranea
Lineage: Bacteria; Pseudomonadati; Pseudomonadota; Gammaproteobacteria; Cellvibrionales; Halieaceae
Description: bacterial SSU rRNA
Rfam family: Bacterial small subunit ribosomal RNA
Source: RNAcentral
CGAGAAGGCCUUCGGGCUGAGUACAGCGGCGGACGGGUGAGUAACGCGUAGGAAUCUACCUGGUAGUGGGGGACAACAUGGGGAAACUCAUGCUAAUACCGCAUACGCCCUAUGGGGGAAAGCGGGGGACCUUCGGGCCUCGCGCUAUCAGAUGAGCCUGCGUAGGAUUAGCUUGUUGGUGAGGUAAAGGCUCACCAAGGCGACGAUCCUUAGCUGGUCUGAGAGGAUGAUCAGCCACACUGGGACUGAGACACGGCCCAGACUCCUACGGGAGGCAGCAGUGGGGAAUAUUGCGCAAUGGGCGAAAGCCUGACGCAGCCAUGCCGCGUGUGUGAAGAAGGCCUUCGGGUUGUAAAGCACUUUCAAUUGGGAAGAAAGGUUGCGUGUUAAUAGCACGUAGCUGUGACGUUACCUUUAGAAGAAGCACCGGCUAACUCCGUGCCAGCAGCCGCGGUAAUACGGAGGGUGCGAGCGUUAAUCGGAAUUACUGGGCGUAAAGCGCGCGUAGGCGGUUUGUUAAGUCGGAUGUGAAAGCCCUGGGCUCAACCUGGGAACUGCAUUCGAUACUGGCCGACUAGAGUACGAGAGAGGGAGGUAGAAUUCC